UGGGGAAUAUUGCGCAAUGGGGGCAACCCUGACGCAGCCAUGCCGCGUGAAUGAAGAAGGCCUUCGGGUUGUAAAGUUCUUUCGGUAGCGAGGAAGGCAUUUAGUUUAAUAGACUAAGUGAUUGACGUUAACUACAGAAGAAGCACCGGCUAACUCCGUGCCAGCAGCCGCGGUAAUACGGAGGGUGCGAGCGUUAAUCGGAAUAACUGGGCGUAAAGGGCACGCAGGCGGUGACUUAAGUGGGGUGUGAAAGCCCCGGGCUUAAUCUGGGAAUUGCAUUUCAUACUGGGUCGCUAGAGUACUUUAGGGAGGGGUAGAAUUCCACGUGUAGCGGUGAAAUGCGUAGAGAUGUGGAGGAAUACCGAAGGCGAAGGCAGCCCCUUGGGAAUGUACUGACGCUCAUGUGCGAAAGCGUGGGGAGCAAACAGGAUUAGAUGCCCUGGUAGUCCACGCUGUAAACGAUGUCGAUUUGGGGGUUGAACUUUGUGUUUGGCGCCCGUAGCUAACGUGAUAAAUCGACCGCCUGGGGAGUACGGCCGCAAGGUUA
Molecule: ribosomal RNA, 547 nt
Filed under: uncultured bacterium
Lineage: Bacteria
Description: bacterial SSU rRNA
Rfam family: Bacterial small subunit ribosomal RNA
Source: RNAcentral